This is a long non-coding RNA of Chinchilla lanigera (long-tailed chinchilla), 946 nucleotides long. RefSeq lists it as uncharacterized. NCBI's taxonomy places the organism in Eukaryota, Metazoa, Chordata, Mammalia, Rodentia, Chinchillidae. The record is from RefSeq and is a predicted model, not a curated record. The transcript has 2 exons.
UACUAAACUACAGAUCAUCUGAUGUGGAGCAGCAGGUUUUCUCCACCUCCCCUAAACAAGGAACCGGCUGUAAAGUGAUCUCCUAAAUAACUGAACAAAUGUUGUUUGCUGGCUUGAGGAAGUCACAGGAGAAUUCUCCAGGUCAGACCUCAAAGAGGAUCAGAAUUUCUAAGGACAUAGAUCACGUUAGUCUCCUCAAAAAAAGAGGGAAGCAACCUCCAGCGUAUUCAUGCUUCUGCCAGCAAGAAGAUUAUUCUUUAGUCUGUGUGAUGUGUCUACAGAGUAUUUUGGAAGCAAGGGAUAGAUCCUGUGGUCUUCUACUCUUUUUCCUCUUUCCACUCAUCUGUUACAUCUCAGUUCUGAUAUUGCCAUGGUAAUCAACAUCAUCAUAGAACACAGACAUGUCAUCUCUUAUCCAUGGAGAUACAAAAUCUGAAGGAUUUCUCACAUCUGUUGGUCACACCUCAGAAGUUCAGAGCUUAUUCAGGACGUGACAGAGACUGAGGAUUCAGCUGCAUAACUUCAUGGCAUCCUCAGUUUCCAACAGUGACUGCUCAAAAUCAGAGGCGUCCUAUUCAGGUCUUGGUUCCAAGGAGAGGACCAAUGGGGGUGAUCUCCAUCCUUCCCAUACCUUUCCCCAAAAGACCACAACCUCCCUCAAAGGUUACAUCUCUUGCCGUGAGACUACCACCUUCUAUGAAGGAUGCACAGUGGGCUGUUCAGGCCACAACCUCCCUUCUGUCGAAGUAACAGAGACAAGAAGUGUAAGAGAAUGCAUUGAAAAGAAAGAUCAAACUGAGGACAACCUUGGCCAGGCUCACAAACCAAGUACUGAUCUGAUCAAGCAAGUCUAGUCACAGAUCCCUGCCUGUUCUCACCUUUUUGUCUCAUUGGAAUCCCUGCUUCUCCCUCAAUAUCUAAUUAAAGCCCAUAUUAUCUGCCAAAA